Molecule: small nucleolar RNA, 107 nt
Filed under: Morus notabilis
Lineage: Eukaryota; Viridiplantae; Streptophyta; Magnoliopsida; Rosales; Moraceae
Description: Plant small nucleolar RNA R71
Rfam family: Plant small nucleolar RNA R71
About the family: R71 is a member of the C/D box family of snoRNAs containing the C (UGAUGA) and D (CUGA) box motifs. Multiple nearly identical copies of this snoRNA have been identified in Arabidopsis, and it is thought to function as a 2'-O-ribose methylation guide for 18S ribosomal RNA.
Source: Rfam by way of RNAcentral
AUCCCAUGAUGAGGGCAUUUCCACAAUAACUCUUUGAAUCUCUCCGAUGUUUCAUACAAUGAUUCACCAUCUGACUGUUGGAAUGAGGUGAUGUCAUUUCUGUGCUU